This 2120-nucleotide long non-coding RNA is filed under the name Numida meleagris (helmeted guineafowl). Its description in RNAcentral is "lncRNA (ENSNMEG00000014247.1)". Lineage: Eukaryota; Metazoa; Chordata; Aves; Galliformes; Numididae. The record is from RNAcentral.
CGGACACGCGGGGCCUCGUGGCCAAACCCCUCGAGCUGCAGGUCCGAGCACACCGCGCUCCCCAGCCCUGGGCUCGCAGUCCGGGGCCGUGGCUCCUCGCGCUGCCGUGCUGCUCGGGGCCAGCUCGGCACGGAAGGCUCCCAGAAAAAAAACCCCUUGGUCAAAGGGUAAAACUGCUUGGAGAAUGAGAGCCGCGGGGUCAGGCGGCAGCAGGGCCCCGGGGAUAAAGCCCUGAUUAGUAUUCCCGGAGCUAAGAAAUGCACCUCCGUUUAGCAGCUUGAGUAAAUACAGUGCCUUAAUAUUGUGUGUUAAUAGACUCGCUUUUUCAGCUACUGACGACUGUAGUUUCAGAAAAUUUAUUGUUGCUAUAAAGCGGCUCUCUCUCUCUCUCCCUUCUCUCUCUCUUUUGCUAAUUGACAAAGGGGCCCAGUAAUUAAAGGACAAUAAAAGUUUUCCAGUAAUUAGUUUCUGUUGUUUGGUUACAGGCCAUCAAUUGUUCUUUAAUAAUACCAAUCGUUAGCAUGCAGUAGUCAGUGGGCUCUCAAAGGCUUCUGGGGCACCACCACUUACCACCACUACACAUUCCAUUCCCAUGAGGACAUCCUGCCUCCAGCUCCGCGUUAACCCUCUCCUAGGACGCAGUCCUCCUGCCCGGCUGCGUGUUUUGGGGUAAACACCUCUCAUCACUCGUGGCUAGAAGGCAGCAAUUAGGGCUCAGCCCAUGGGACCUUGGAUCAGGAGAUGCCUUGGGAGAGCUGCCCACGUGUCCCAGAGUGGUCAGACGCCAUCGGGAUUGGGCAGGGGGAAGAGGUAAGGACUUGCAGACCUCAAAGGAUGCGCAGCUCCCAAGUUACCGGAGAAGGCUGCAUUUCAUCACUGCUCUCCCACAGGAUGAAGACGGCACACACAGCAGGACGUGGCUUGCCAAGGGCUUGGGCCACUGGGUCCUGCAGACACCUUAUUUCUUCUUCUCUAGUGAAGACAAACCUCUCAGCAAAGCCCAUCUCAUGUGCUGAUGCUAAAACAUUCAUCCAUGCAGUGCUUUGCGAAGAGUCUGCCUGCGGUGAGCUGAGGCCAAGCUGGCAGAGAGAGACAGUGAAACCUUGCCCAAAAAAGCUCAUUUCAUACUCAGUCAUAACUUCUGUCCUGCGUUUCAGGGUCGCCUCAGUCCCAGCCUCAGCAGACACCUCCUGUAAACCAUUGCAUGAUCUUCAAAGAGGCCUACAAGGGUCCCAAGGAACACGGGUAUUUGACCCAUGUCUCCAGUUUCUUCUACCUUCCUCCUGGGAAGGAGGUCUUCAGAAAUACUUCUUUUUUUUUUUUCCCUUUUUUUCAUUUUUUCCAGGCAUUUUAGUAGCAAUAUCUUCUUCUUUGACAGUGACAGGAGAGUCAGGUCUCGCAGAACACCAACACCAGGGGCUAACAGAGACUCACUGUCCCAGUUCUCCCCAUCUGCCUUGAUGAACCUUGUAACGAGCUUUCCAAGUGGCUGGGCUUGGCCCAGCUGCUGGAGUCAUAGAGAAAAGCUGGGUGCAUCUUUGGACUGUGUGCAUGGUAUAUAGCCAGAAGAGGAGGUUUUUUGGCAAAACCUGAGACAAAUCAGACAAUCCCUUUCUGAGACAUAGGUCUUAGGGAAAAUAAGUGUAAUUCAGAGUGUUUGAAGCAUCUCCUAAUGCUUUUUCAUGUCAUGUCUCAAAUAUGGCUUGGCCUAGAAACUUCAGAUUUGUUUAAUUCAAGAGCCCUUGACGUAAUCUAGCACAGAUGAGGGCUUCUGAGAGGCUGCAGUGCUUAUUUGGAGCUAUUCUCCUCCGAAUUACGAAUAUAUUAGUGUUCUAUCAGCAGCUGUGACAGUGAAAAGUUAAGACAGGCUUUCUAGGCUUUGCCAAAGCAUCCUCAGAGCCCUUUUCUCCUCCCUCAGAUUGGUUUCACCCAUCAGGACAAGGACUGCUUGGAUGCCCUACAAACCAAAGCCAGCCCAGGACGCCCACCAGCAGGAUCUGUGCUCUCCUGCCAUGCCCGUGCCACCCUGCAGCCGGUGUCCAAAGGGCAUGCUCUGCUUCCCAGCCUCACCCAAGUCAAACUUCAGCCAAGACCUAAAUAAAAUUUAAAAGUGUCAGACA